This 253-nucleotide ribosomal RNA is filed under the name uncultured bacterium. RNAcentral's name for it is "partial 16S ribosomal RNA". It matches the Rfam family "Bacterial small subunit ribosomal RNA", at positions 524 to 776 of the family's 1533-position model. The record is from RNAcentral.
UACGUAGGUGGCGAGCGUUGUCCGGAUUUACUGGGCGUAAAGGGCGUGCAGGCGGUUUGCUAAGUCUAGGGUGAAAGCUCCCGGCUUAACUGGGAGAGGUCCUUGGAUACUGGCAGACUUGAGGAGGGUAGAGGAGAGUGGAAUUCCCGGUGUAGUGGUGAUAUGCGUAGAUAUCUGGAGGAAUACCGGUGGCGAAGGCGGCAUCCUGGACCGGCAUUGACGCUGAGGAGCGAAAGCCAGGGGAGCAAACGGG